AAAAAACUCAGAGGAAUUGCAGAUUCCAAUAAAGGCCUUGGGAACAGGAAGCAGUCAAAAAGGAGAGAAGGUCUACAAACGCCCCAGCUCUCCCACCCAGAAGACAGCUAUGGUGAAAUCGACCCAGAAAUCCAGCCACCAAAAAAAGUUCUGUUUCUCUCUUGGGAACUCUGUGUGGCUGUUUGUCAGGUACUUACUGUGCUAUGCCUGCUUGUACUUAACGCUACUCUUGAUUUAUAAACACCUACCUGAUGGUAUCUGGGUAUACCAGCUGGACAUGCCAG
Long non-coding RNA from Serinus canaria (Common canary), 284 nucleotides. RefSeq lists it as uncharacterized. Lineage: Eukaryota; Metazoa; Chordata; Aves; Passeriformes; Fringillidae. The record is from RefSeq and is a predicted model, not a curated record. The transcript has 4 exons.